AAACGCAGAAUUUGUUUAUUACUUUUACGUGUAUUUACAGCGUAUGAAAAAGUACAAGUAGCUAAAUAAGUAAAAAUUUACAUGAAUAAUUGAGAUCGUAAUUAGUUUUCCAUCUUCCACAAAUGAGGGCCCUGAAGGGGUAAAAUGGGAACUGGGAUUGAUCUAUUUUUAGACUGGGAAAAUGGGAUUUGAGUUGCUGGGACUGGGAUUUGGCCACUGGGAAUGGGAAAUGAAGUCCUCAAAAAUGAG
Paramuricea clavata is the source of this 249-nucleotide non-coding RNA. NCBI's taxonomy places the organism in Eukaryota, Metazoa, Cnidaria, Anthozoa, Malacalcyonacea, Plexauridae. The record is from the annotation of a GenBank genome assembly.